This 71-nucleotide transfer RNA is filed under the name Pimelodidae sp. 4 JPS-2012. Its description in RNAcentral is "tRNA-Thr". It matches the Rfam family "tRNA". From Rfam's summary of the family: Transfer RNA (tRNA) molecules are approximately 80 nucleotides in length. Lineage: Eukaryota; Metazoa; Chordata; Actinopteri; Siluriformes; Pimelodidae. The record is from RNAcentral.
UGCCUUAGUAGCUUAAGCCCAAAGCGCCGGUCUUGUAAUCCGGAGAUCGAAGGUUAGAAUCCUUCCUAACG